GAUGAAUGCUGGCGGCGUGCCUAACACAUGCAAGUCGAGCGGCAGCGAGUUUUACACUGAAUUCUGGAAGCUUCUGAGUAGUACAGAAGAUUUAUUCAAGAGUUUUGUGUAAAAUGUCGGCGAGCGGCGGACGGCUGAGUAACGCGUAGGAAUUUGCCCCAAAGUGAGGAAUAACUGCCCGAAAGGGUAGCUAAUGCCGCAUAUGGUCUUCGGAUUAAAGCCUUCGGGCGCUUUGGGAGAAGCCCGCGUUGGAUUAGGUAGUUGGUAGGGUAAUGGCCUACCAAGCCGACGAUCCAUAGCUGGUCUGAGAGGAUGAUCAGCCAGACUGGAACUGAGACACGGUCCAGACUCCUACGGGAAGCAGCAGUGAGGAAUCUUCCACAAUGGGCGAAAGCCUGAUGGAGCAACGCCGCGUGAAGGAUGAAGGCCUUCGGGUUGUAAACUUCUUUUAUGAGUGAAGAAUAUGACGGUAACUCAUGAAUAAGCACCGGCUAACUACGUG
RNAcentral lists this ribosomal RNA (502 nucleotides) under uncultured bacterium. RNAcentral's name for it is "partial 16S ribosomal RNA". It matches the Rfam family "Bacterial small subunit ribosomal RNA", at positions 28 to 507 of the family's 1533-position model. The record is from RNAcentral.